AACGAACGCUGGCGGCAUGCCUAACACAUGCAAGUCGAACGAGAACCUUCGGCUUCUAUUGGCGCACCGGUUCGUAACCCGUUGGAAUCUGCCCUUAUGUUCUGAAUAACAGUUAGAAAUGACUGCUAAUACCUGAUGAUGACGUUAAGUCCAAAGAUUUAUCGCCUGAGGAUGAUCCCGCGUAGGAUUAGCUAGUUGGUGUGGUAAAGGCUCACCAAGGAGACGAUCCUUAGCUGGGAUGAGAGGAUGAUCAGCCACACUGGGACUGAGACACGGCCCAGAAUGCGAGGCGAGAGAGAGGUGGAGAACAUUGGAGGAUGAGCGCAAGUCUGACACAGCAACGUCGGGUGAGUCAUGAAGGGCGUAGGGUUGCAAAGCUCUUUUAGACGGGAUGUUAAUGACAGUACCGGGAGAAGAAGCCCCGGCUAACUACGUG
This 436-nucleotide ribosomal RNA is filed under the name uncultured bacterium. RNAcentral's name for it is "partial 16S ribosomal RNA". It matches the Rfam family "Bacterial small subunit ribosomal RNA", at positions 29 to 507 of the family's 1533-position model. The record is from RNAcentral.